This 538-nucleotide long non-coding RNA is filed under the name Piliocolobus tephrosceles (Ugandan red Colobus). Its description in RNAcentral is "lncRNA (ENSPTEG00000007411.1)". The record is from RNAcentral. Lineage: Eukaryota; Metazoa; Chordata; Mammalia; Primates; Cercopithecidae.
AUGUUUAUAACUACCUUUAACCAUCAUAAAAAAUAUAAAAAAUAUAUACCUUUUUUUUUUUUUUUUUUUUACUUUUUCAUCUUAAUUAUUAUUAUAAUUGCCAUAAUAUAUAUAUAUAUAUAUAUAUACCUUUUAUCUUUCCAAAUAAUCUCCGAACGUAUUAAACUUUCUUUGAAAAAAAUUAAAAAGGAAAAAAAGCUCUUUUUUCUAUUGAUAAAAAAAAAAAAAAAAAAAAAAAAGAAAAAAAAAAAAAAAAAAAAAAAAAAAAAAAAAAAAAAAAUGUGACAAAACAAGCAAAUACAUACGGACAAAAGGUGCACAUGAUACCAUACGUGUAUGUUUAUGCACAUAUCUAUACAUGCAUGUUUAUAUAUAUAUAUAUAUAUACCCAUUUUUAUAUUCUUGUUUUUUAGCAAAAUAUAUUUGUUUAAAUAUUAUUUUUAGUGAUUUUUGUAAAGCUCUUUUUUUUUUUUUUUUUUUUUUUUUUUCCUACAUUAUAUAUAAUAAACAUUGUUAUUUUUAAAAUAUAACCGAUAAA